GACGAACGCUGGCGGCGUGCCUAACACAUGCAAGUCGAGCGAGAAUCUGUAAAUUGAUUCCUUCGGGAUGAUUUUUACAGAGGAAAGCGGCGGACGGGUGAGUAACGCGUGAGUAACCUGCCCUUCAGAGGGGGACAACAGUUAGAAAUGACUGCUAAUACCGCAUAACAUGUUUUUAUCGCAUGGUAGAGACAUCAAAGAUUUAUCGCUGAAGGAUGGACUCGCGUCUGAUUAGAUAGUUGGUGAGGUAACGGCUCACCAAGUCGACGAUGGGUAGCCGACUUGAGAGAGUGAUCGGCCACACUGGAACUGAGACACGGUCCAG
RNAcentral lists this ribosomal RNA (325 nucleotides) under uncultured bacterium. Its description in RNAcentral is "bacterial SSU rRNA". It matches the Rfam family "Bacterial small subunit ribosomal RNA", at positions 28 to 334 of the family's 1533-position model. The record is from RNAcentral.